GGAUUAGGCAUGCAAGUCGAACGAGAAAGUUUCCUUCGGGGAACCGGUAAAGUGGCGAACGGGUGAGUAAUGCGUAGAUGACCUGCCCUCAUGACGGGAAUAACAACUCGAAAGGGUUGCUAAUGCCGGAUGUGGUUUCUCUUCUGCGGAAGAGGAAUCAAAGGUGGCCUCUGUUUCAAGCUGCCGCAUGAGGAGGGGUCUACGUGGUAUUAGCUAGUUGGUGGGGUAAUGGCCUACCAAGGCAAUGAUGCCUAGCCGGCCUGAGAGGGUGUCCGGCUACACUGGGACUGAGACACUGCCCAGACUCCUACGGGAGGCUGCAGUCGAGAAUCUUCCACUAAUGUGCGAAAGCAUGAUGGAGCGACGUCGCGUGGACGAUGAAGGCCUUCGGGUUGUAAAGUCCUUUCGAAGGGACCUAAUCCCUCAGGGUUAAUACCUCUUGAGGUUGAAGGGCCAUGAGAAGAAGCACCGGCUAAAUUCGUGCCAGCAGCCGCGGUAAUACGAAUGGUGCAAGCGUUGUUCGGAAUCACUGGGCAUAAAGAGCACGUAGGCGGCAACGUAAGUCAGGUGUGAAAUCCCCCGGCUCAACCGGGGAACUGCACCUGAUACUGUGUUGCUAGAGUGCGGGAGGGGAGAACGGAAUUCCUGGUGGAGCGGUGAAAUGCGUAGAUAUCAGGAGGAACGCCGGAGGCGAAAGCGGUUCUCUGGCCCGCUACUGACGCUGAGGUGCGAAAGCUAGGGGAGCAAACAGGAUUAGAUACCCUGGUAGUCCUAGCCGUAAACGAUGGGCACUAAGUAGAGGGGUUUU
RNAcentral lists this ribosomal RNA (808 nucleotides) under uncultured Planctomycetota bacterium. Its description in RNAcentral is "bacterial SSU rRNA". It matches the Rfam family "Bacterial small subunit ribosomal RNA", at positions 46 to 832 of the family's 1533-position model. The record is from RNAcentral. Lineage: Bacteria; Pseudomonadati; Planctomycetota.